GUCGGGGUGGCGGAACAGGCAGACGCGCACGUUUGAGGGGCGUGUGGUGUACACCGUGUGGGUUCGAGUCCCAUCCCCGACACCA
Molecule: transfer RNA, 85 nt
Filed under: Bacillota bacterium
Lineage: Bacteria; Bacillati; Bacillota
Description: Firmicutes bacterium (anaerobic digester metagenome) tRNA-Leu
Rfam family: tRNA
About the family: Transfer RNA (tRNA) molecules are approximately 80 nucleotides in length.
Source: RNAcentral